AGUGAACGCUGGCGGCGUGCUUAACACAUGCAAGUCGAACGAGAACGGAAUAUAGCUUGCUAUAUUUGUCAGCUAAGUGGCGCACGGGUGAGUAAUGUAUAGAUAACCUGCCCUUAAGAAAGGAAUAACAGUUGGAAACGACUGCUAAUGCCCUAUAUGCCUUUAAUACAUAAGUAUGCAAGGGAAACGCUUUAGUGCUUAAGGAUGGGUCUGUAUGGUAUCAGCUUGUUGGUGAGGUAAUGGCUAACCAAGGCUAUGACGCCUAACUGGUUUGAGAGGAUGAUCAGUCACACUGGAACUGAGACACGGUCCAGACUCCUACGGGAGGCAGCAGUGGGGAAGAUUGCACAAGGGACGAAAGUCUGAUGCAGCAACGCCGCGUGGAGGAUGACACAUUUCGGUGCGUAAACUCCUUUUAUAUAGGAAGAUAAUGACGUUACUAUAUGAAUAAGCACCGGCUAACUCCGUGCCAGCCGCCGCCGUAA
Molecule: ribosomal RNA, 485 nt
Filed under: uncultured bacterium
Lineage: Bacteria
Description: partial 16S ribosomal RNA
Rfam family: Bacterial small subunit ribosomal RNA
Source: RNAcentral